AGGAAGACUCCUGCAAGGAAAAAUAAAUCCCAAAUCCCAUUUCAGUUGUGAUAAUUUCAGCUGUAAGUGACAAUAACCCUCAACUAAAAAAGCUUAAACAGUAAGAAAUCUAUUAUAUCAUAUAAAAAGAAGCCCAAUGUUAGAUUCAUGGUUGCUUCAUUCACUGAUACAGUGAUGCAAUCAGGAAUCCUUGCAUUCUUCUUCAACCUCUUUCAUCCUCAGGAUUUUGGUUUUGGUUGCAGGCUUAGACCCUCAUUGCUGCAAUAUGGUUGCUGUGGUUUCAGGUAUCAUACCGUUACCCAAAUGCCACCAUGAAAGAUGAGGGCAGGACACCAGAUACUGACCCACCAUGCUGAGGGCUUCGGAUUUUCUUUCUGCUUGAUAAACUUCUGUUAGCCAUUCUUUUAGAGCAGUUCUGCUAGUGAAAAAUUCUUAGUUUUCCUUCCUCUGAGAAUGUCUUUAUUUCAUCUUCAUUUCUGAAGAACAUUUUAACUGGAUAUAGGGUUCUGGAUUGAUACUUCUUUUAUUUCCUCAUGAAAAAUUUUGUGCCACUUCCCCAUGGUUUCUAAUGAGAAAUCCUUUGUGAGUCUAAGAAUUUUUUCUAGUAUAGAUAAAGCAUCAUUUUUCUCUGACUGCUUUUAAGCUUUUUCUUAGUGUUUAGUUUUCAAAAAUCUGAUUAUAAUGUGUUUGAACCUGGACUAUUUUUUAUAGUUAUUGUGUUAGAGAUUUGCUCAACUUCUUGAAUCUGCCGUUUAUGUCUCUUGUUAAAUUUAGGGAGAUUUUAGCUAUUAUUGGCACAAAUAUUUUUUUCAGCCCUGCACUCUUUCUUCUGUCCUUCUGGGACUCAGAUGGCACAAAUGUUAUAUUAUUUGUUAUCAUUCAGUAGGUUUUUGAGGCUCUGUUCAUUGUUUUUUUUUUCCAAUCUUUUUCCCCUGUUUUCAGAUUGAAUAAUUUUUGUUGAUGUAUCUUCAAAUUCACGGAUUUUUAACUCUGUCGUAUUCAUUUUGCUCUUCAAUCAAUAGGCAGGUGUUAAAUUUCAUUCGACAUAUUUUUCAUUUCUAAAAUUUCCGUUUGGGUCUUCCUGAUACCUUCUGUUUCUUUGUUGAGACUUUAUAUUUCUUCAUUUGUUUCAAGAGAAUUCAAAAUCACUUGUUGAAACAUUUUAUGAUGGCUGCUUCAAAAUCCUUGUCAGAUAAUUUCAACAUCUGUCCUUUCUUGGUGUAGGUGUCUUUUGAUUGCUUUUUUCUCAUUCAAAUUGAGAUUUUCAUGGUUUUUGCCAUAAUGGGUAAUUUUAUAUUGUAUCCUGAACAUUAUGAAUACUAAGUAUAAGACUCUGGUUUCUAUUUAAAUCUUCUAUUUUAGCAAGGAUUCAACCUUUUUAUAUAAAGAAUGUACAUCCUAGCCUAGUUUUGUGAGCUGUGAUUCAAAUGCCAAUUUAGAUUUCAAAGCCUUUGCAGUGUUAUUCCGGUCUGCCACAGUUGUGUGCUUCCCAGAGACCAACUUGAAUUCUGGGCAGUGUUUCAGAAGAGUGUUCAAUUUUCAAACCCUUUGCUAUGUUGUUUCUGGGGUUACAUGCAUGGACUUCUAAGAAGUUUUCUCAAGAUUUCAACAGCUCCUUUCUUUCAUUGGAAGGAGGAGUAACACCAUUUCAUUAUUGUAUGGCAGAGAUAGAAGAUAAGGCUCUGCCCACAGUCUCUAGGCUGCAGCAUCUGGUGAGGAAGGGAAGAUGUAUGGCUGCAUUGCUUUUCUGUUGGUGUUCACCUGGAAUAGAGCAGAGAUGGGGUCUGCCUAUGUUACCCAGACUCAUUGCUUCCACCUGUUCCUGGACCAGUCCUAGAUGCCAGCAAUAGAGAAAUCCCUGCAGUUCCCCAAAGGAAAAAAGUCACAUGUUCAUGAUUAUUAAACACAGCUGUUUGAUUGGCAUUAAAAUGGAUCUGCCUGAUAAGACCUGGAACUGAGAACCCAAACAGAACCUAAGAUAAGCUCCCAAGGGAAGUGCUGGCAGUAGAUAUUCAGAGGCAUUUUGGACAGUUGGACAAUCAGAGUGAGACUGACCCACAAGCAGGCAAAACGUGUAUGCAUUAGCAGGUGUGUGGAAGAGGGCUAGAUUUUGACUGAGGGUUGGAGAGGACAUGAGCUGGUUUUUGCCUAAUAAUGACUAAUGAGUGAUUUAGGCAGAUGGAACCUCCAUGAAAUCUUCUGGAGGAUCCUGCUGUUAGUAGUGAAUACCCAGUCACAGCAACUGACAUUCAGAGGCAGCUGACAAGCCUCGGCAGCCUUGGCAGGAAGGGCAAGUCAAAGUUCUAGGUGUCAGAGUGGAAGCAGAGAAUCAAGCAGAAAAUUGGUACAGUAGGAUGGAGACCCAGAGUAUUAGGACAGAGCUGUGUGGCAGAGGUUGGGUCACUGUGGAGUAAAAAAGAACUUGUCGUGAUCCUGGAAAGUAGCAGCAAGAUUACAGUAGGGCUGGCAGGAGGGUGACCUGAUACUGAAACACUGAAUAUGGCCCCUGUUGUCUCUUCAGAUACAGGAUUAGGAGCCAUUGGGAAAGGCUUGAAGCUAUAGCUUGUGAGAAUGACCCUCAGUGCUAGAGAGAUAAUGGACAAUAAGUUAAACUUCAUUUUAGUCAGGCCCUGGGCACCUGUAGUGUCAAAAGCUUCUUCCACUAUUGAGAAUCACUAGAAAAUUACCAAGAAAUACCCAGUGGUCUAUUUAUUUAGUGGAUGCAUUAAAAAAAUUCUUCAAAUAGCCCCAUUCUUAGUGUGCUUUGACCUGUACACUCCCUAUAAUUCAGAAGAGUGAAGAAAGAAACAGUGGAGGAGAGAAUGUACUUAAAAAUACACAGUUAACCUUUUCCUCAAAGUCAAAGCCUAAAGGGAGAAUGGCAGUGUAAAGAAAGUAGGAGGAGGGACCAGGAUGACUUCUAAGGGAAAAAGAAAGGCAUCUUUUAUCCAAAACUAAAGCAACAUAAUGGCGAUGUGAUGUUGCUUUUUGUCCAUAACUAGGUCAUAAUAGACAAAUGCAUUUCUAAUGAUGAAGAACUCUGGAAGGGAUAGGAUCAAGGAGGGGAAAAGCAAGCCUCCCUCAAUGUGUACCACAUUCAUUUGGGACAAAGAUGAUGUAGGUGUGCUGCCUGUCAACUAGAAUGUGCAUGGGAAGGGGAAGAGAUGAACAAGAACAGAGAAUUACUCCUUGGGCCAUGUUGGUCAUUAGUAGAAUAGGUCACUCAUUUUGUCUUCUAGGAUAGAAUCUUUCUUUUUGAUACCCAAGAUGGCUUUGUGAUGUGUCAUCUUGGGUAUGUUAAAUCACUUUCCCCAGAAUUCCCGUUCAAGUGUGUUUCUGGUUAGGGUGGACUUUAAAGGAGAUUCUCACACAAGAGUUGAAAGACAGAAGAGAGGCAGCUGUCAUUUAAUAGUGUACACACACCAUCCUCCAGAUAUUCCAUCAAAUGCUAGUGUAGGUGCUGCUGGGAAGGGGUUUUCCAAAUGUAAU
Long non-coding RNA from Cercocebus atys (sooty mangabey), 3489 nucleotides. RefSeq lists it as uncharacterized. The record is from RefSeq and is a predicted model, not a curated record. The transcript has 4 exons. Lineage: Eukaryota; Metazoa; Chordata; Mammalia; Primates; Cercopithecidae.